Molecule: transfer RNA, 76 nt
Filed under: Caulobacter sp.
Lineage: Bacteria; Pseudomonadati; Pseudomonadota; Alphaproteobacteria; Caulobacterales; Caulobacteraceae
Also listed under: 9 other names
Description: tRNA-Ala
Rfam family: tRNA
About the family: Transfer RNA (tRNA) molecules are approximately 80 nucleotides in length. Their secondary structure includes four short double-helical elements and three loops (D, anti-codon, and T loops).
Source: RNAcentral
GGGGCCAUAGCUCAGUUGGUAGAGCGGGUGCUUUGCAAGCAUCAGGUCGUCGGUUCGAUCCCGUCUGGCUCCACCA